UACGUAGGGGGCUAGCGUUGUCCGGAUUUAUUGGGCGUAAAGAGCGUGUAGGCGGCCAGGUAGGUCUGCUGUGAAAACUCGAGGCUUAACCUCGAGAUGUCGGCGGAAACCAUCUGGCUAGAGUCCGGAAGAGGAGAGUGGAAUUCCUGGUGUAGCGGUGAAAUGCGCAGAUAUCAGGAAGAACACCCGUGGCGAAGGCGGCUCUCUGGGACGGUACUGACGCUAAGGCGCGAAAGCGUGGGGAGCGAACAGG
Molecule: ribosomal RNA, 253 nt
Filed under: uncultured bacterium
Lineage: Bacteria
Description: partial 16S ribosomal RNA
Rfam family: Bacterial small subunit ribosomal RNA
Source: RNAcentral